Molecule: ribosomal RNA, 585 nt
Filed under: Lycaena hippothoe
Lineage: Eukaryota; Metazoa; Arthropoda; Insecta; Lepidoptera; Lycaenidae
Description: partial large subunit ribosomal RNA
Rfam family: Bacterial large subunit ribosomal RNA
Source: RNAcentral
ACAUGUCUUUUUGGAAUAAUAAUUUAAAGUCAAAUCUGCCCACUGAUNAAAUUAUUAAAGGGCUGCAGUAUAUUGACUGUACAAAGGUAGCAUAAUCAUUAGUCUUUUAAUUGAAGACUUGUAUGAAGGAUUUGAUGAAAUAUAAACUGUCUCUUAUAUAUUUAUAGAAUUUAAUUUUUUAGUUAAAAAGCUAAAAUAUAUUUAAAAGACGAGAAGACCCUAUAGAGUUUUAUAAUUAUUUAUUAAUUAUUUAUUUAUAAAUAUAAAAAAUUUUUAAUAGAUAAUUAUUUUAUUGGGGUGAUAGAAAAAUUAAAUAAACUUUUUUUUAUGAAUAAACAAAUAUAAAUGAAUAAUUGAUCCAUUAAUUAUGAUUAAAAGAAAAAAUUACCUUAGGGAUAACAGCGUAAUUUUUUUUUUUAGUACAAAUAAAAAAAAAAGUUUGCGACCUCGAUGUUGGAUUAAGAUAAAAUUUAAAUGCAAAAGUUUAAAGUUUUGAUCUGUUCGAUCAUUAAAAUCUUACAUGAUCUGAGUUCAAACCGGUGUAAGCCAGGUUGGUUUCUAUCUUUAAUAAAUUAAAAUAUUUUA